AUGUCAUCAGGUAACAAAAUCUUAAUUAAAUCCGUGGCUCAAGCUAUUCCAGCUUAUGUUAUGAGUGUGUUCAAGCUUCCAGCCUCGGUUUGUGAUGAGCUCACCCGUAUGAUGCGCCAAUACUGGUGGAGAGUGGAGAAUGGGAAGAAGAAAAUGGCAUGGACAAGUUGGGACAAAAUGAUACUCCCCAAAUCUAUGGGGGGCAUGGGCUUCAGGGAUAUGAGAGCGUUCAACCAAGCGCUGCUGGCUAAGCAAGCUUGGAGGCUCCUCGACUCUCCUGACAGCUUAGUUGCGAGACUAAUGAAGGCAAAGUAUUACCCUCAAGGUCAGUUGCUGGAUAUAGUAUUUUCAAUCUCUGGAUCAGCAGUGUGGAAAGGUAUUCUGCAUGGUUUGGAGCUGCUCAAAAAAGGUGUCAUAUGGCGGGUGGGGGACGGGGAGCAUAUCCGGACGUGGCGAGAUCCUUGGAUCCCACGGCCUUCUUCCUUCCGGCCGAUCACCCCAAAAGGCUCCUGCCAUCUCAAUCGUGUUUCAGCGUUUCUGGAUGCUAAUGGGGCAUGGAGGGCUGAUCGCCUCCAUGAAUUUUUUUGGGAGAUGGAUGUUCAGCAUAUUCUCAAAAUUCGUACUUCUCCAAGACAACGAUCUGACUUCAUCUCAUGGUUUCCAGAGAAGAGUGGUGUUUUCUCUGUUAGAAGUGCAUACAUAUUAGUUACAUGCGAUCACAACACAACAGUUUCUGAAGGGGCAACAAGUGCGUCCGCGAGUGGAUCCCGGUCCCUAUGGAACUGCGUAUGGCAAUCAUCGGUCCCGCAG
RNAcentral lists this ribosomal RNA (810 nucleotides) under Triticum aestivum (bread wheat). RNAcentral describes it as "partial small subunit ribosomal RNA". Lineage: Eukaryota; Viridiplantae; Streptophyta; Magnoliopsida; Poales; Poaceae. The record is from RNAcentral.